RNAcentral lists this ribosomal RNA (168 nucleotides) under Engelhardia roxburghiana. RNAcentral describes it as "5.8S ribosomal RNA". It matches the Rfam family "5.8S ribosomal RNA". Rfam says of the family: 5.8S ribosomal RNA (5.8S rRNA) is a component of the large subunit of the eukaryotic ribosome. It is transcribed by RNA polymerase I as part of the 45S precursor that also contains 18S and 28S rRNA. Functionally, it is thought that 5.8S rRNA may be involved in ribosome translocation. Lineage: Eukaryota; Viridiplantae; Streptophyta; Magnoliopsida; Fagales; Juglandaceae. The record is from RNAcentral.
AUAUAUAACGACUCUCGGCAACGGAUAUCUCGGCUCUCGCAUCGAUGAAGAACGUAGCGAAAUGCGAUACUUGGUGUGAAUUGCAGAAUCCCGCGAAUCAUCGAGUCUUUGAACGCAAGUUGCGCCCGAAGCCAUCCGGUCGAGGGCACGUCUGCCUGGGUGUCACGC